Poecilia formosa (Amazon molly) is the source of this 114-nucleotide non-coding RNA. The record is from Rfam. Lineage: Eukaryota; Metazoa; Chordata; Actinopteri; Cyprinodontiformes; Poeciliidae.
CUCGGCUACGGAGACAUGUACCCUCAGACGACCUUUGGCAUGCUGGUUGGAGCCCUGUGCGCCCUGGCAGGUGUGCUGACCAUCGCCAUGCCAGUACCAGUAAUUGUCAACAAC